AAAAGCGGAGGGGCGAGUAAGAUUACUUUAAAAGGGUGCCCACCCCAGCCCUAGGCCCAUCUAGGACUGUAGGAAGACUCGACGUCUCGGUAGUCUCCGGGAGGAAGAAGCUGAAAGCUACCUCCUUCUGGAAGCUUAUCUCACAGGGCGCUGCGCUGCCAGGGGGCCCAACCUGCCCGGCGCGCGACGCUAAGAGUCACUUUUGGCGAGAGGACACCAAGAGCCGGUAGGAGGCGGCCGGGCCGGCGUAGCGAGCGGGUCCGGCUGGGCGGAGACCCCGCCUCGGCGAGCACGCCGGAAGUGGCCACCGGUACCGCCCCCGAGAGGAAAGGGGCUGCGCGAUGGCGGCCGCGCAGGGGGCCCUGGCCGAGCGGGAAGAUGGGGUGGCCUGGAGGCCCAGAGUCAUUCACAGGCCGAAUUGACCCUGUUCCCUGCGCAAUGCCGUGCCAGGAGCCUUUGUACAUGGAACCAGGAUGUGGUUGUUACAUUCCAGGAAUAACUGGGGAUCCUGCUAGGGAGACCAGACUAAACCUCAGGAAUAAACUUUGCGGUUCAGACAUAUUCUACUGUUGGAUCUAAAGUAUUCAUACUGUUGGGAGUUUAGAGGCGAAGGGGUUUAGGUAGGCUAGUCUCGUUUUUCUAAAGUUCUGCAUAAUAGUAGCUUCAAAAGUUAUUUUCUUUGGGAAGCUUCCCCAGAUUGCUAUCCUGCUGCCUCCAUACCUAUUAAGCUUUUAAGCUGUUCUUAUUUAGCAUAUAAUUCAUAAGCGCUCACUACUUUUGUGUCCUGUGUGUGAACCUUCCUGUAGGCAGGAACUCUUGUCAUUGUUAAACAUUACCUAAUGUAUGCGUAUGAAUGUGAAUUAAAAACAGAUUGAAGUGAUUAAAAGGAACUGAGCUAGGUCUGAAAUAGCGGGAAGUAUUUCCGUAAUAUGAAAAAUAAUGGCCUCUUGGGCUGGGGUUGUGGCUCAGUGGUAAAGUGCAUGCCUAACACGGGUGAAGCACUGGGUUUGAUCCUCAGCACCACAUUAAAAAAAAAAAAAUGAAAUAAAAAUAGUGUGUCCACCUACAACAAAAUUUUUUUUGAAAUGACCCCUGUGCCAGAUUUAUAUAUAUAUAUUCUUGACUCAUGCUGUUUUAUUUGUUUUGUUUUGUUAUUGUUGUUUGUAGUUGUAGAUGGAGAGAAUGCCUUUAUUUUAUUUGUUUAUGUGGUGCUUAGGAUCAAACCUAGUGCCUCAUGCAUGUUAGGCAAGCACUCUGCCACUGAGCUACAGCCCCCCAGCCUUGCUGUUUGUUUUUAUUUAAAUUAGAGACUAACAUUUUAAAAUCAGGAAACACACACAUAAUCUAAAUUCCCAACUUUUCUUGAAAAAUCAGAAGAUGUUGCUGUCAGACCUGCUGAGAAUCUGUAAUUUCUGGUACAGCAGAGAUGCUUAAGAAAGACACACGCGCACACACAGGCAUUCAGUAGAAAAUGAGCACCGCCUUUACUUUUUUCUCUCCUUCUUUUAUACAGCAUUGUUAAUUAAAACAAGGGGAAAGAAAAAACAUCCUUUUGGCAGCUUACUCCUUACAAGCAUAGAUAAACAUUCUCAGGAAAACUUUGUUUAUGGUCACAGUGCUCCGU
Molecule: long non-coding RNA, 1624 nt
Filed under: Ictidomys tridecemlineatus (thirteen-lined ground squirrel)
Lineage: Eukaryota; Metazoa; Chordata; Mammalia; Rodentia; Sciuridae
Description: lncRNA (ENSSTOG00000030410.1)
Source: RNAcentral